RNAcentral lists this non-coding RNA (21 nucleotides) under Mus musculus (house mouse). Lineage: Eukaryota; Metazoa; Chordata; Mammalia; Rodentia; Muridae. The record is from RNAcentral.
UAGUUCCCGGAAACAUUUGCC